This 490-nucleotide ribosomal RNA is filed under the name uncultured bacterium. Its description in RNAcentral is "partial 16S ribosomal RNA". It matches the Rfam family "Bacterial small subunit ribosomal RNA", at positions 30 to 507 of the family's 1533-position model. The record is from RNAcentral.
AUUGAACGCUGGCGGCAGGCCUAACACAUGCAAGUCGAACGGUAACAGGAAGAAGCUUGCUUCUUUGCUGACGAGUGGCGGACGGGUGAGUAAUGUCUGGGAUACUGCCUGAUGGAGGGGGAUAACUACUGGAAACGGUAGCUAAUACCGCAUAACGUCGCAAGACCAAAGAGGGGGACCUUCGGGCCUCUUGCCAUCGGAUGUGCCCAGAUGGGAUUAGCUAGUAGGUGGGGUAACGGCUCACCUAGGCGACGAUCCCUAGCUGGUCUGAGAGGAUGACCAGCCACACUGGAACUGAGACACGGUCCAGACUCCUACGGGAGGCAGCAGUGGGGAAUAUUGCACAAUGGGCGCAAGCCUGAUGCAGCCAUGCCGCGUGUAUGAAGAAGGCCUUCGGGUUGUAAAGUACUUUCAGCGGGGAGGAAGGGAGUAAAGUUAAUACCUUUGCUCAUUGACGUUACCCGCAGAAGAAGCACCGGCUAACUCCGUG